AAUUCCGUUUUCCUCUUCUUCGCCAAUCCAACUCCCGUCUUCCUUCUUCCUCUUCCUUGUUCGAAUCCAAGUAACCUACCCAAACCGCCAACCCCCACCCCAAGGAAGGAACCCUAGUACCCUACCCGUGAGAACCGCCGCCGCACAACCCCGGACGUGGUGGCAGGCGACCGAUCCGGAUCCAUCAUCCCAAGCUUCCUUUCUGUCUCCUCUUCAUCCAUCUCCACAAGGAUAAUCAAGGAAGGAAGGCCAUGGUUUUGUUCGAACUUGACCCGGACAUCAUCCGAUGGGGUCUUCACCAUCUCCUCCCCGCUCCGGCUGGAUACUCUCCUCAUUGUCGCACCCAAACCACCCCUACCACACCUUGUACAGCUUUUGCUCGCCCUCCUCAUCAGCCCAUCGGAGACAUGGGUACCUCAAGCUCCGUUGAGAUCAAGGUCGAGCAUGUCGAUGGGGUUGACAACGACGCGAUCAUCGCACAAGCCCUCCAGGAGGAAUUGUCCAAUGUCGCCUUCGCCGAAGCGUCCGGGCCAACCUCUGCCGCUGACAAUCAACAACAUUCUGCUGUUCUCACGCAGCAAUGGCUUCGCCCACGCGCCGUGCAUGUAGAACCAGCUUCUCAAGAGGCAGGGACCAGGGAGGAACCUUUCAGCACCUGCUCAAGCCCUGGAGAUGACAAUAACGUCCAGGACAGCCAGCAAUGCUUGAUAGAGCUCAUGGAUAACUUCUCUGUCAUUGACGGUGAAGUGGGCAAAAGAUUGAACAACAUGGUUCCUGUUCCUCAUGUUCCUAAAACUAAUGGAGAGAUUCCUUCUGUUGACGAAGCCAUUUCAGAUCAUCAAAGACUUCUUGACAGGUUGGUGGUGUACGGUUUGGUUGAUCUCAAGGUUAAAGGAGAUGGCAACUGCCAGUUUCGAGCGCUGUCAGAUCAAUUUUACCGAACUCCUGAACAUCACAGAUUUGUCCGGCAGCAAGUGGUGAAGCAGCUUGAAUCGCAUCCUGAGAUUUAUGCAGGAUAUGUCCCUAUGGACUACAGGGAAUAUCUCAAAAAGAUGUCAAAGAGUGGAGAAUGGGGUGACCACGUUACAUUGCAGGCUGCUGCAGACUCGUACGGUGUAAAGAUCUUCAUCCUGACAUCAUUCAGAGAUACAUGUUAUAUUGAGAUUCUUCCUGUUGUUGAGAAAUCCAGAAGAGAGGUUUUGGCUAUCUAAACUCAGAAGUCCUGUUGUGCAGUUAUAUGCUUGAGUUUUUGGGCUGAGGUGCACUACAACUCCAUAUAUCCUGAAGGAGAGUUGCCGGUUUUGGAGUUUGACAACAAAAGGAAAAGGUGGUGGCCCUUCUAGCUAGGAUUCCCAGGACAGACUAGAUAGAGCAGCUUUAACAGACUGAGGCCUUUCUGUUGGGCUGUGACACUGACUGAUGACGAAAACGAGCCCAUGGGUGGUGGACGGAACUGCAUUGGCCUUGCCCUCCUUGCCCACACGAUAGACAUGUACAGUGCGUAGUAGAUGGUACUAUUUGCCUACUUGGUAACCCAUUCUCAGAUAUAUCUUUUAUCUCUAUUACUAUAAUAAAGCACCAACACGUAAUGGGCCGAUA
Molecule: non-coding RNA, 1599 nt
Organism: Zea mays
Lineage: Eukaryota; Viridiplantae; Streptophyta; Magnoliopsida; Poales; Poaceae
Source: RefSeq, a predicted model, not a curated record